Molecule: non-coding RNA, 485 nt
Organism: Coffea arabica (coffee)
Lineage: Eukaryota; Viridiplantae; Streptophyta; Magnoliopsida; Gentianales; Rubiaceae
Source: RefSeq, a predicted model, not a curated record
UCUAAAUCUUUACACUUAUUAGAUGCUUAUAGUGCAUUGCUUGACAUACUUACCUGAUAAUGUAACUGUGACAGCUCUAUCUAUUGGGGAAUGCAUCAGUGGAAUCACUAUCUAGCGCAGAAUACUCUAAGCUGACAUCAACAUUUUCAGGUCAGAUCUGUGAUUGUUGAAGUGAGGGAAAGAUUUCAAUCACAUUCAAUGAGGUCAUACAGAGCCAGAUUUCUGAGAAUAUAUGAACUCUGCCUGAAUGACAAUGAGACAUCUUUCUUGGGCAUGGAGCAAGUCCAACAAUUUUCCUCCUUCUCAUCAGUAUCGCUGCAGGAGAGCUUAAUGAUCAACACCUUGCAGUUUAAUCUUUCAGUGCCUACUCCUUAUGUUUUCAUGAGGCACUUUCUUAAAAUUGCAAGUUCUUUCUACUUGUUAGGGAAGAUAAUCUUUUAGUUUGUGCACAUGAGGAUCUUUUAGUUUGUCCACAAGAGAAUCUU